Long non-coding RNA from Helicoverpa armigera (cotton bollworm), 607 nucleotides. RefSeq lists it as uncharacterized. The transcript is spliced from 2 exons. Lineage: Eukaryota; Metazoa; Arthropoda; Insecta; Lepidoptera; Noctuidae. The record is from RefSeq and is a predicted model, not a curated record.
AUUCGUUCAAAAAGUUAUAUCGUAGCGAAGUCGGUCCGCGUGCGGUUGUGCCUAUUCAGUACAAAUGAGUAAUUCGUAUUUUUCCUUUUGCUUUGUCAUGUGACUCGAGCCUCGCGGUACUAGUUCGCGCACGUGUCGCGUUUAAUAUUUUACUUACAGUCGGAGGCGAACAAUACUGAACUGUGAAGACUGGAAGAAAGAAAACUAAAUGUCAGUCGUGUCGGGGGGAGGAAUCGACUUGACUUUAUUAAAUACUAGUCAGUCUUUUUCUCUCUCCUAUAUGGUUGGCAUGUAACCGUCGCUCGCUGCGCCCGCGCCGUCGCUCCGCUCCCAGCGUGGCCAUGUCCGCAGUGACGUCAGGGAUUACGCAAGCUGUUUUUGAUUCGGCUGCGAAAUCACUGAAUUUUCUGCUUGAGACAAGGCCGUUGUGAAGACUUAUUUGUCGACUUGAAUAUUUUUUACUGUAUAAUUGUAUUCUGUCCAGCCUCGGCGUGACGCGGCCACACUUUGUAUAACCUGCACGCCACUUGCGAUUGAUCAUUAUACUCUAUUGCGCUCAAAAUGUACUAUGCAAUGCGAUUUAAUAAUAAAUCUGAUUUAAAUUGAA